Molecule: ribosomal RNA, 253 nt
Filed under: uncultured bacterium
Lineage: Bacteria
Description: partial 16S ribosomal RNA
Rfam family: Bacterial small subunit ribosomal RNA
Source: RNAcentral
UACAGAGGUCUCAAGCGUUGUUCGGAUUCACUGGGCGUAAAGGGUGCGUAGGCGGUCGGGUAAGUCUGAUGUGAAAUCUCCGAGCUUAACUCGGAAACUGCAUUCGAUACUGCGGUGCUUGAGGACUGGAGAGGAGACUGGAAUUCAUGGUGUAGCAGUGAAAUGCGUAGAGAUCAUGAGGAAGACCAGUGGCGAAGGCGGGUCUCUGGGCAACAACUGACGCUGAGGAGCGAAAGCGUGGGGAGCGAACAGG